GUGGGGAAUAUUGGUCAAUGGACGGAAGUCUGAACCAGCCAAGUAGCGUGCAGGAUGACGGCCCUAUGGGUUGUAAACUGCUUUUAUAUAGGGAUAAAGUUCACUACGUGUAGUGUUUUGUAGGUACUAUAUGAAUAAGGACCGGCUAAUUCCGUGCCAGCAGCCGCGGUAAUACGGAAGGUCCGGGCGUUAUCCGGAUUUAUUGGGUUUAAAGGGAGCGCAGGCUGAUGAUUAAGCGUGACGUGAAAUGUAGCCGCUCAACGGCUGAACUGCGUCGCGAACUGGUUAUCUUGAGUGAGUUCGAUGUUGGCGGAAUUCGUGGUGUAGCGGUGAAAUGCUUAGAUAUCACGAAGAACUCCGAUUGCGAAGGCAGCCAACAAGGCCUUUACUGACGCUAAAGCUCGAAGGUGCGGGUAUCGAACAGG
RNAcentral lists this ribosomal RNA (425 nucleotides) under uncultured rumen bacterium. Its description in RNAcentral is "bacterial SSU rRNA". It matches the Rfam family "Bacterial small subunit ribosomal RNA", at positions 354 to 776 of the family's 1533-position model. The record is from RNAcentral.